GUGAAUCAUCGAAUCUUUGAACGCAAAUUGCACUCUCUGGUAUUCCAGAGGGUAUGCCUGUUUGAGGGUCAGUUUAAAUAAAAAUCGGUGUGGUUGCUGCCUUUCGUGGGUACGCACCUGAUUUGGAUCGUCUUUCCUUCGGUUAAGUGAGCUACAAUUUUGCAUGAUUUUUUUCGAACGUCUUUAAAUAAUUUUACGUACAGUGGCGAUAUAUAAUACUUGAUGUGGUCAUCCUC
RNAcentral lists this unclassified non-coding RNA (236 nucleotides) under Glomus sp. RNAcentral describes it as "partial contains 5.8S ribosomal RNA and internal transcribed spacer 2". The stretch from base 1 to 71 matches the Rfam family "5.8S ribosomal RNA", at positions 84 to 154 of the family's 154-position model. The record is from RNAcentral. Lineage: Eukaryota; Fungi; Glomeromycota; Glomeromycetes; Glomerales; Glomeraceae.